AGUGUGUGUGUGCAUUGCAGGUGUGACUGCUGUGUCACAUGUGCAUCGGUCAGUGGCAGAGAAGAGAGAGGCUACGUCUACACUCGGUGUUCUGACCUGUGAUCACCUGAAUGAUUAGCAGCCUAACACU
Molecule: small nucleolar RNA, 130 nt
Organism: Rattus rattus (black rat)
Lineage: Eukaryota; Metazoa; Chordata; Mammalia; Rodentia; Muridae
Product: small nucleolar RNA SNORA17
Exons: 1
Source: RefSeq, a predicted model, not a curated record